GACGAACGCUGGCGGCGUGCUUAACACAUGCAAGUCGAACGGAAAGGCCUUGUCUGAGGUACUCGAGUGGCGAACGGGUGGGUAACACGCGGGUGAUCUGCCCUGCACUCUGGGAUAAGCCUGGGAAACUGGGUCUAAUACCGGAUAGGACCGCACAUUCGUGUGUGUGGUGGAAAGUUUUUUCGGUGUGGGGUGAGCCCGCGGCCUAUCAGCUUGGUGGUGGGGUAAUGGCCUACCAAGGCGGCGACGGGUAGCCGGACUGAGAGGUUGGGCGGCCACAUUGGCACUGAGAUACGGCCCAGGCUCCUACGGGAGGAAGAAGUGGGGAAUAUUGAACAAGGGGAGCAAGCCUGAUGCAGAGACGCCGCGGGGGGGAUGACGGCGUUGGGGUUGUAAUCUCCUAUCGCCAGGGACGAGGAGUUUUGUGACGGUACCUGGAGAAGAAGCACCGGCUAACUACGUG
RNAcentral lists this ribosomal RNA (463 nucleotides) under uncultured bacterium. RNAcentral describes it as "partial 16S ribosomal RNA". It matches the Rfam family "Bacterial small subunit ribosomal RNA", at positions 28 to 507 of the family's 1533-position model. The record is from RNAcentral.